AUGGGAAGACAGCCUUUCGAGAAGCCAAACAGUCCCCCUUUCGUUUUUGUAAACGGGUGGCAAGUUACUUGCAUUACAAGACAGUAUAAACAAACGUUGAGUUGUUGACACUCGGGAAACCCGAAAAAUAAACAACCUUGAACUGCUUUGGCUAGAAAUGGAUGAGAUAAGUCCUGAAAAUAUUGAAGUGUAACACAGUAAGAGGUUUAAAAUUAUAAGAUGUCACAGUCCAAAAUUUGGUCUUACACAAAUAAUGGUUAAUACACGCCAUUUUAAUUUUCCCCCAAACUUAGACUUGGCGGUAUUGACCCAUCUACUUAUGAACGGGUCAAUUCAGGUUAU
RNAcentral lists this long non-coding RNA (342 nucleotides) under Helianthus annuus (common sunflower). Its description in RNAcentral is "sRNA HanXRQr2_Chr09g0408481". The record is from RNAcentral. Lineage: Eukaryota; Viridiplantae; Streptophyta; Magnoliopsida; Asterales; Asteraceae.